UACGAAGGGGGCGAGCGUUGUUCGGAAUUACUGGGCGUAAAGGGCGCGUAGGCGGCCCGGUCAGUCAGAAGUGAAAGCCCCGGGCUCAACCUGGGAAUGGCUUUUGAGACGGCCGGGCUCGAGUUCCGGAGGGGAUGGUGGAAUUCCCAGUGUAGAGGUGAAAUUCGUAGAGAUUGGGAAGAACACCGGCGGCGAAGGCGGCCAUCUGGACGGACACUGACGCUGAGGCGCGAGAGCGUGGGGAGCAAACAGG
This 253-nucleotide ribosomal RNA is filed under the name uncultured Azospirillum sp. RNAcentral describes it as "partial 16S ribosomal RNA". It matches the Rfam family "Bacterial small subunit ribosomal RNA", at positions 524 to 776 of the family's 1533-position model. Lineage: Bacteria; Pseudomonadati; Pseudomonadota; Alphaproteobacteria; Rhodospirillales; Azospirillaceae. The record is from RNAcentral.